UUUACCAAUCUAGCCCCAAGUUGUCUUGUAAAAUCACUUAACAACUUCUCAACACUUGUUGUUUCCAUGAUAGGGCGUGAAGAGCUAGUUUCUUGUUGAGAUACUCGGUGACUAUUUUUUUCUUCUUUGAGUUGGAAAGCAAUGAAAUUGAUGGACUCUUGAAGCUCUCCCAAAGAUGCUUCAAUCCUUGCAUUGUGAGCCGCUUGAAUAGCUAUAUUGGCACGAUAGCGAGCUUCAAUGUCUUGGAUUAGCUUAACAAUAUCUUCAUUGGAAGUGGAGGGACCAUAAUUCCCAUUCAUCGAGUCAUGGAAUUGAGAAUCACCAUGAAACCCAGGUUGGUCUUGUCAAUUUGAAUAGCCUUGAUCUUUUGAACCCCAAUUAGUGAAAUCAUCAUAACCACAGUCAUACUCAUUCUGAUAUCCAUAAUGAACCGGCGGGAAGUCUUGAUUAGGAGAGUCAAAUUGCAUCUGUGCUUGGUUAUCCAUACUUCGUCCUGCAAACAAAGCUGAACUAUCCAAAACAACAAAUACAGGGGUGAAACAGAAAAAUAAAGACUAAGCGAGCAAUCCUACACCUUUCGUGAAGUCAAGUAGAGUCCCCGGCAACGG
RNAcentral lists this long non-coding RNA (608 nucleotides) under Linum usitatissimum (flax). RNAcentral's name for it is "long non-coding RNA (LUSI_LNC005763)". Lineage: Eukaryota; Viridiplantae; Streptophyta; Magnoliopsida; Malpighiales; Linaceae. The record is from RNAcentral.